CUGCUUGUAAGGUGGCGACGGCGGGCCCGGAGAAAGAUGGCGCUGCGGCCGGGAACGGGAGCUGGGGGCGGCGGCGCCGCGGGAGCCGGCGCGGGGGCCGCCGGGGCAGGCAGCUUCAUGUUUCCGGUUGCAGGUGGAAUAAGACCCCCACAAGCAGGACUGAUGCCAAUGCAGCAACAAGGAUUUCCUAUGGUCUCUGUCGUGCAGCCUAAUAUGCAGGGCAUGAUAGGGAUGAGUUACAGCUCUCAGAUGCCCCAAGGACCUAUGGCCAUGCAGGCAGGGAUACCAAUGGGGCCAAUGCCAGCAGCAGGAAUGCCUUACCUUGGACAAACACCGUUCCUGGGAAUGCGUCCCCCGGGCCCACAGUACACCCCAGACAUGCAGAAGCAGUUCGCUGAAGAGCAGCAAAAACGAUUUGAACAGCAACAGAAGCUCUUAGAAGAAGAAAGAAAAAGACGCCAGUUUGAAGAGCAGAAGCAAAAGCUCAGGCUUUUGAGUAGUGUGAAACCCAAGACAGGAGAGAAGAGUAGAGAUGAUGCUUUGGAAGCCAUAAAAGGAAACUUAGAUGGGUUUUCCAGAGAUGCUAAAAUGCAUCCUACUCCAGCAUCGCACCCUAAGAAACCAGAUUAUCCCACACCAUCUCAUUCUACUAAAACUGUCUCCCCAUCACCUGCCUUUCUUGAUGAAGAAGAAUUCAGUGACUUUAUGCAGGGGCCCGUUGAAGUUCCCACAUGUGGUCCUUCUUCCACUUCCCAGCCUUUUCAGUCUUUCCAUCCCACCACCCCAUUUGGCCAGUUGCAUACACAGAAGGCUGGAGCACAGCCUCUCCCUCCAGGUCAGAUUCCAGUGUCUUUUGCCUUACAUGGUGUCCCUGGGCAAAUUCCUUCUUUCUCUACUGCUGCAGCCUCAUACAAUGUACAGAAAGCAGGCCCUUCCUUGGAGGAGAAGCUCCUAGUAUCUUGUGAUAUAAGUUCAUCUGGGCAGGAACAAAUUAAAUUAAAUACCUCUGACGUUGGUCACAAAGCCCUAGGCCCAGGUUGCAGUAAGAACCAUCCCAGUUUAACGGCCAAAAACGGGGGUGCUAUAGAUGGACGUGUAAGUGGUACCACCAUUGCAGAGGCAGAAAAGACUUCAGACCAAAACCUAUCCAUUGAAGAGAGUGGUGUGGGAGUAUUUCCCUCACAGGAUCCUGUUCAGCCCAGAAUGCCGCCUUGGAUUUACAAUGAGAGUUUGGUUCCAGAUGCCUAUAAGAAAAUUUUAGAAAUCACAGUGACUCCAACUGGAAUAGAUACUGCUAAACUUUAUCCCAUUCUGAUGUCAUCUGGACUGCCCAGGGAAACUCUUGGACAGAUAUGGGCCUUGGCUAAUCGAACUACACCUGGCAAACUUACUAAGGAAGAACUUUAUACUGUUCUCGCCAUGAUAGCGGUAACACAGAGAGGUGUUCCUGCCAUGAGUCCUGAUGCUUUAAACCAAUUUCCAGCUGCUCCUGUUCCAACUUUAAGUGGAUUUCCUAUGACUUUGCCUGCUGCGGUGAGUCAGCCAACUGGGAUGUCUUCAGGCCCUGCCGGCUCCAUACCCCUCAACCUUGGACAGCCGGUCAUGGGCAUUAACCUUGUUGGACCAGUUGGGGGAGCUGCAGCCCAGGCUUCCAGUGGCUUCAUGCCAACUUACCCUGCAAAUCAGGUGGUAAAACCAGAAGAAGACGACUUCCAGGAUUUUCAAGAUGCUUCUAAGUCAGGAUCCCUUGAUGAUUCAUUCAGUGAUUUCCAAGAGUUGCCUGCUUCUUCAAAAACAAGUAAUUCCCAGCAUGGAAGCAGUGCCCCUUCUUUGUUGAUGCCCCUUCCUGGCACUAAAGCAUCAGCUUCGAUGGAUAAGUAUGCUGUGUUUAAAGGAAUUGCAGCUGACAAAUCCUCUGAAAGUAACAUUCCAUUUGGAGAGCCUGGUGAUAAAUACAGUGCUUUCAGAGAACUUGAACAGACAGCAGAGGGUAAAACUUCAGGAGAAAACUUUGCAGAAUUCAGAUCUGCGAGCACUGAUGACGGUUUCACCGAUUUUAAAACUGCCGAUAGUCUAUCACCACUAGAGCCACCAACAAAAGACCAAACUUUUCCAGCAUCCUUCCCCUCAGGAGCUGUACAACAGAAACAACAAACACAAGUGAAGAAUCCUCUGAACUUAGCAGACCUUGAUAUGUUUUCCUCAGUUAACUGCAGCAGCGAGAAACCAUUAUCUUUUUCAGCUGCUUUUAGUGCAUCCAAAUCUGUUUCCACACGGCCACAGCCAACAGGAUCUGCUGCAGCUACGACAGCACUGGCAUCAACUAAGAUGUCUAGUUUGGCUGAUGAUUUUGGAGAAUUCAACCUUUUUGGGGAAUAUUCGAGUCCAGCAUCUGUUGGGGAACAGGAUGACUUUGCAGAUUUUAUGGCUUUCAGUAAUAGCUCUGUUUCACCUGAGCAAAAGGCAGAUGAUAAAUAUGACGCCCUUAAAGAGGAGGCUAGUCCUGUUCCUCUAAGUGGCAGCUCGAGCAGCACAGUGAAGAGUGGACAAAACUCCGCUGCCACGUCCACCAAAUACGAUGUCUUCAAACAACUUUCUCUGGAAGGAUCUGGACUGGGUAUUGAAGAACUGAAGGAUAAUACCCCUUCAGGAAAAAGUGAUGAUGAUUUUGCUGACUUCCACUCUAGUAAAUUUUCUUCCAUGAACUCAGACAAAUCUCUGGGUGAGAAAUCAGUGGCUUUCAGACACACCAAAGAAGACUCUGCUUCAGUGAAGUCCUUGGAUCUCCCUUCCAUUGGUGGCAGCAGUGUUGGCAAGGAGGACUCUGAAGAUGCACUCUCUGUUCAGUUUGACAUGAAACUGGCUGAUGUGGGAGGAGAUCUUAAGCAUGUCAUGUCUGAUAGCUCUUUGGAUUUACCAACAGUUAGUGGCCAGCAUCCUCCUGCUGCAGAUAUAGAGGACUUAAAAUAUGCUGCUUUUGGAACCUACAGUAGCAAUUUUGCAGUGAGCACACUUACGAGCUAUGACUGGUCAGACAGGGAUGAUGCGUCUCAGGGCAGAAAACUCUCUCCAUUUGUCCUCUCAGCAGGAAGCGGGUCCUCCUCAGCUGCCUCGGUUCUUCAAAAGAAAGAGACUUCAUUCGGCAGUUCCGAAAACAUCACCAUGACCUCUCUCUCCAGAGUAACAACCUUCACAAAUGAAGAUGCUCUUCCAGAGGCCACCUUCCCAGCUUUUGCCAGUUUUAAAGAUGUGAUUCCUCAGACCAGUGAGCAAAAGGAAUAUGAAAGUGGGGACUAUAAAGAUUUCACGAGACAGGACUUGCCUACAGCCGAACGGAGCCCGGACGCCACCUGUCCAAGCCCGGCCUCCAGCGGCACUUCUCACGACACUCCCAAAGAAUGUGCAGAUGACUUUGGAGAGUUUCAAAGUGAAAAGCCCAAAAUCAGCAAAUUUGACUUUUUGGUGGCCAAUUCACAGAGCAAAAUGAAAUCCAGUGAAGAAAUGAUCAAAAGUGAGCUGGCGACCUUUGACCUUUCUGUUCAAGGAUCACACAAAAGGAGUUUGAGCCUUGGUGAUAAAGAAAUAAGCCGUUCUUCUCCUUCUCCGGCUUUGGAGCAGCCUUUCAGGGACCGUUCCAACACUCUGAGUGAGAAGCCAGCUCUGCCUGUCAUCCGUGACAAAUACAAAGAUCUGACAGGAGAGGUGGAGGAGAAUGAGAGAUAUGCAUAUGAAUGGCAGAGGUGCCUGGGGAGCGCCCUAGAUGUCAUUAAGAAGGCAAAUGAUACCUUAAAUGGAAUCAGUAGUAGUUCUGUGUGCACAGAAGUAAUUCAGUCAGCCCAAGGCAUGGAAUAUUUAUUAGGUGUUGUUGAGGUGUACAGGGUGACGAAGCGUGUGGAGCUGGGGAUAAAAGCCACCGCGGUGUGCAGUGAGAAACUCCAGCAGCUGCUGAAGGACAUCGAUAAAGUGUGGAAUAACCUCAUUGGCUUUAUGUCCCUGGCCACACUCACGCCCGAUGAGAAUUCACUGGAUUUUUCCUCUUGUAUGCUACGGCCUGGGAUUAAAAAUGCUCAGGAACUUGCCUGUGGGGUGUGCCUUUUAAAUGUGGACUCCAGAAGCCGGAAAGAAGAGAAGCCUGCAGAAGAACAUCCCAAAAAAGCAUUCAACUCCGAAACAGACAGCUUCAAGCUGGCAUAUGGAGGACACCAGUAUCACGCCAGCUGUGCCAACUUCUGGAUCAACUGUGUUGAACCAAAACCUCCCGGCCUCAUCCUGCCUGAUUUGCUCUGAAAAGUACCUCUUUGAAGUACCUACUGGGUCUGUUUUCCCAUCAUACCCCAGGAGGAGACAGGGACCAAUGAACAGAAUGCAGGACUGUGCAGUUCGCUUCCACGAAGCUAUAGGAGGAGUUCCCUGCACGGUCAGGGGCGAGAAAGAAGCUGCGAGCUCCCAGUCGUUCCUGCAGACAUUUGUCCCCUAGGUCCCACCGCAAGUCUUAGGGAUUUGAGGUAAAAUUGCCCUGCCCAAACUGCAUGUGGCACCAGAAGUUUGCUAACUUCUCUCUAGUUCUGCUAAGAUGUUUUAAAAUAUGGCACGGUUUUCUUUAAGGAAUCAUUUGCUGCUGCCGUAUAUUGAAACUGUGAAGAAUUGACAUUUUGACGUUUGAAGAAAAAUAAAUUGUAAUAGGAUUGGAAUUGGCAAGAACGUUUUGAGCCAGUGCUCGCUUCUAUCUAGAACCCUGCUGUCCUGUGAAGUAGAAUGCAUUUACCCACAUGUAGCUUGUUGAUAUCUGAAAUGAAUAAAAAGGGGACAUUGUGACUAAACUGAUGUUCUUUUUAUCGAAAAACUUCCGCUCAUCUCCAUCAGACGAUGGAAGUGGGUGAGGGCAGAUUUACCGACUUUGCGGUCACAGCUGAACCAGUUCUUCUUUUGUUCAUUUCUCAAACUAUCAGCGUUCAAGAAGGCAUUUUCUCAAAACACGCCUGGGCACUUUGCAAUGGAUUGAAUGUUCAUUUUGACAGAGGCCCAAAUCUUUGUGUAUCAGGAUGAAUAAACACCCUUCCCCUUUCGGAGCCUUCACUGAAAACUUUCUUUUACCUCAAAGACUGUGAACGUGGUAUUUUUUGCAGACAAGUUUUGGAAAGGCAGCUGGAUGAAACCUCUUGGCAGUGGCCUUUGUCCAAAUGUCCAGAAAUGACUGACUGCAUAGGGACCAGUACUGCCUGACUUCGCAGUAUUAUGUGAGAGACCUGAAAAUUCAUUCACAGUUGGAAGGUGGAGUUCCUGGCCUACUGAGGCAAACAGAUAAAUCAUCCGAGGGGCCAUGAGAGUCCGUGGGAGCGUGCUGUGACCUCUGGAGCCCAUGAAGAUGCCAGCAAUCACACUUGCAUCGUUGGCAGCAAGACCAGAGGGUUUUGUGUUCCUCCACCAAGGAAUCCAAAAUCAGUGUCCUUCCUGCAAAACACAGAUCAGAAAAUAGAAGGUUCAGAAAGCGUGAGAUGAUUUCAACUUAGAGAAGAUACAUAACAGAACCAGGAAGAGAACCAAGGUUCCGGGCUCCUAGCUCAAGCCCACACACCGCCUUUCUGUGAGACUGUGGAGAGUGGCUCAGCACCUGCCUUACAGCACUCCCAACACCACCAGCCGACGCCUUCAGUGUGUCCAAAGGGUCUUGGAUCUGCCUACGAAGAAUGUGUGUAAGUGCUACUUACAGAAAUGCCCAGAUGGGCUGAGCUACUCCAGUUUCUCCUAUCGCCCAGAAAAGGGACAUACUGCUGCAGACCCAGGUAGCCGUCAGGACACAGAAAGCUCCCUGACAGCAGAGGGACCUCACCAAGGAGCAGCUCCACAACAAGAAGCCCUAGUGUCAGUGCCAAGCUCAGGAGAGUCUGAUCAUGAAGGAUACAUGUGUAUUCCAUCAUAGCUUUGUCAAAAUCAACUUAGUAAAUGUGUACUGGAAGACAGAGGAAGGGCAUCUAUUAGCGGAGUAAGAGACUGAGCCAUGGUUGAGGGAUCAAAGACUGCAAGGUACUGAGUGAACAUACCACUCCCCCUGCAGCACACUUGUCUCUGAGAUGACCAGAGGGCUCGCCAAGGAAUGGCCACGUCGCUGUCCAUGGUGUUCAACUCAGUUCUUCCAAGUUGCUCUGGCAGCUUCAUUUACUUCUUGGAGGGAAAAAAUGCUUUCCUGGCAAGGGGAACGGGGGUGGGGGGGUGUGUGAUGCAAGACAAAAAGGAGGAGCUGUCCUAAGCCAACCUCAGAGAGGUACUUCUUUGUUUACAAGUUACAAGAAACAUCUUGCUGGUCUGAAUAAUAACCAUCAAAGCACUAAAGUGCUAAGCAAAAUGCAGAAUUAGUGUCUGUCCAGGUGGCCUGUAAUCUCAGUGCAUAAGCUAUUAACACCUGAUAGCUCCCUGCACUGGAGAACUCCUGGGGCACAAGCCUGGUGUUAGCACUGGGUAUCCAUACCUGGAGCUACCUGGAGUCACAAUCUACUCAGGGCAUCCAUCCCCAGGCCAUAGGGGCUAGUUUUCCUUCUUCUUCUUUUUUUUUUUUUUUUUUUUUUUUUUUUAAGUCAUAG
Lynx canadensis (Canada lynx) is the source of this 6578-nucleotide RNA transcript. It is a transcript of the gene named synergin gamma, with no coding region annotated. The record is from RefSeq and is a predicted model, not a curated record. Lineage: Eukaryota; Metazoa; Chordata; Mammalia; Carnivora; Felidae. The transcript has 25 exons.